This 74-nucleotide transfer RNA is filed under the name Podarcis lilfordi (Lilford's wall lizard). Its description in RNAcentral is "tRNA.Glu". The stretch from base 7 to 70 matches the Rfam family "tRNA". From Rfam's summary of the family: Transfer RNA (tRNA) molecules are approximately 80 nucleotides in length. Their secondary structure includes four short double-helical elements and three loops (D, anti-codon, and T loops). Further hydrogen bonds mediate the characteristic L-shaped molecular structure. tRNAs have two regions of fundamental functional importance: the anti-codon, which is responsible for specific mRNA codon recognition, and the 3' end, to which the tRNAs corresponding amino acid is attached (by aminoacyl-tRNA synthetases). tRNAs cope with the degeneracy of the genetic code in two manners: having more than one tRNA (with a specific anti-codon) for a particular amino acid; and 'wobble' base-pairing, i.e. permitting non-standard base-pairing at the 3rd anti-codon position. Lineage: Eukaryota; Metazoa; Chordata; Lepidosauria; Squamata; Lacertidae. The record is from RNAcentral.
GCCACAGGUAGCUCAGUUGGUAGAGCAGGAGACUCUCAAUCUCAGAGUUGUGGGUUUGAAUCUCACACCAGGCA